GACGAACGCUGGCGGCGUGCCUAAUACAUGCAAGUAGAACGCUGAAGGAGGAGCUUGCUUCUCUGGAUGAGUUGCGAACGGGUGAGUAACGCGUAGGUAACCUGCCUGGUAGCGGGGGAUAACUAUUGGAAACGAUAGCUAAUACCGCAUAACAGUAGAUAUCGCAUGAUAUCUACUUGAAAGGUGCAAUUGCAUCACUACCAGAUGGACCUGCGUUGUAUUAGCUAGUUGGUGAGGUAACGGCUCACCAAGGCGACGAUACAUAGCCGACCUGAGAGGGGGAUCGGCCACACUGGGACUGAGACACGGCCCAGACUCCUACGGGAGGCAGCAGUAGGGAAUCUUCGGCAAUGGACGGAAGUCUGACCGAGCAACGCCGCGUGAGUGAAGAAGGGUUUCGGAUCGUAAAGCUCUGUUGUAAGAGAAGAACGAGUGUGAGAGUGGAAAGUUCACACUGUGACGGUAUCUUACCAGAAAGGGACGGCUAACUACGUG
Molecule: ribosomal RNA, 495 nt
Filed under: uncultured bacterium
Lineage: Bacteria
Description: partial 16S ribosomal RNA
Rfam family: Bacterial small subunit ribosomal RNA
Source: RNAcentral